UGCGGUGCCUAUAAUGCAGUCGAGCGGACAGAUGGGAGCUUGCUCCCUGAUGUUAGCGGCGGACGGGUGAGUAACACGUGGGUAACCUGCCUGUAAGACUGGGAUAACUCCGGGAAACCGGGGCUAAUACCGGAUGCUUGUUUGAACCGCAUGGUUCAAACAUAAAAGGUGGCUUCGGCUACCACUUACAGAUGGACCCGCGGCGCAUUAGCUAGUUGGUGAGGUAACGGCUCACCAAGGCGACGAUGCGUAGCCGACCUGAGAGGGUGAUCGGCCACACUGGGACUGAGACACGGCCCAGACUCCUACGGGAGGCAGCAGUAGGGAAUCUUCCGCAAUGGACGAAAGUCUGACGGAGCAACGCCGCGUGAGUGAUGAAGGUUUUCGGAUCGUAAAGCUCUGUUGUUAGGGAAGAACAAGUGCCGUUCAAAUAGGGCGGCACCUUGACGGUACCUAACCAGAAAGCCACGGCUAACUACGUGCCAGCAGCCGCGGUAAUACGUAGGUGGCAAGCGUUGUCCGGAAUUAUUGGGCGUAAAGGGCUCGCAGGCGGUUUCUUAAGUCUGAUGUGAAAGCCCCCGGCUCAACCGGGGAGGGUCAUUGGAAACUGGGGAACUUGAGUGCAGAAGAGGAGAGUGGAAUUCCACGUGUAGCGGUGAAAUGCGUAGAGAUGUGGAGGAACACCAGUGGCGAAGGCGACUCUCUGGUCUGUAACUGACGCUGAGGAGCGAAAGCGUGGGGAGCGAACAGGAUUAGAUACCCUGGUAGUCCACGCCGUAAACGAUGAGUGCUAAGUGUUAGGGGGUUUCCGCCCCUUAGUGCUGCAGCUAACGCAUUAAGCACUCCGCCUGGGGAGUACGGUCGCAAGACUGAACUCAAAGGAUUUGACGGGGGCCCGCACAAGCCGUUGGAGCAUGUGUUUAAUUCGAAGCAACGCGAAGAACCUUACCAGGUCUUGACAUCCUCUGACAAUCCUAGAGAUAGCACGUCCCCUUCCGGGGGCAGAGUGACAGGUGUGCAUGGUUGCCUC
This 1030-nucleotide ribosomal RNA is filed under the name Bacillus amyloliquefaciens. RNAcentral's name for it is "bacterial SSU rRNA". It matches the Rfam family "Bacterial small subunit ribosomal RNA", at positions 38 to 1055 of the family's 1533-position model. Lineage: Bacteria; Bacillati; Bacillota; Bacilli; Caryophanales; Bacillaceae. The record is from RNAcentral.